AGCGAACGCUGGCGGCAGGCCUAACACAUGCAAGUCGAACGAACCUUUCGGGGUUAGUGGCGGACGGGUGAGUAACACGUGGGAACGUGCCUUUAGGUUCGGAAUAACUCAGGGAAACUUGUGCUAAUACCGAAUGUGCCCUUCGGGGGAAAGAUUUAUCGCCUUUAGAGCGGCCCGCGUCUGAUUAGCUAGUUGGUUGAGGUAAUGGCUCACCAAGGCGACGAUCAGUAGCUGGUCUGAGAGGAUGAUCAGCCACAUUGGGACUGAGACACGGCCCAAACUCCUACGGGAGGCAGCAGUGGGGAAUCUUGCGCAAUGGGCGAAAGCCGGACGCAGCCAUGCCGCGUGAAUGAUGAAGGUCUUAGGAUGGUAAAAUUCUUUCACCGGGGACGAUAAUGACGGUACCCGGAGAAGAAGCCCCGGCUAACUUCGU
Molecule: ribosomal RNA, 433 nt
Filed under: uncultured bacterium
Lineage: Bacteria
Description: partial 16S ribosomal RNA
Rfam family: Bacterial small subunit ribosomal RNA
Source: RNAcentral